This is a long non-coding RNA of Chinchilla lanigera (long-tailed chinchilla), 456 nucleotides long. RefSeq lists it as uncharacterized. The transcript has 2 exons. The record is from RefSeq and is a predicted model, not a curated record. Lineage: Eukaryota; Metazoa; Chordata; Mammalia; Rodentia; Chinchillidae.
GAAGGACGCGCGGCUACCUUGCUGCGGCCUCUAACGGCCCCCCGCGAGCGCCGCCUUUCCGAAGCGCGCUCGCGGCUGCGUGUUUGCUUUUCCCGAGGCCGCCUUUUCCGGCCGAAGUUUAGGGCCAAUCUGAAUAGCCCGUUUUCUCGCUUGACAGCCCCGCGAGCUGCGGGACUCAGACCCCCCAGGUCACACGGCCCCCUUUGCCCGCCCCGGCACGGCGCUUGCCUUCUAGACCCGGAGGCUGCACCGUGGGCUGCGCUAGCGCGUGAUCUGUGCUUUUCAAGAAAUGCAAGCAGCCGCAGCCCUGGUUAACUUUCAGCGAGAAGCCUUUAAGUCGCAUGUGUGAAUUCAAGCAUUUCUUGAAGAGCUGGACUUCUGGGAUCCCAUUUUCUGAACUCCGACGUACGGUGUAUUGAUAAAUAAAUUUUCUAGUGUGUGCUUCAAAAAUCUUAA